AUCGUUCGUUCGGUAACAAGUCAAACGUAACACUAAAAGCACGAACUGUGCGACAUUACUGCCUGUUGACUGACUGCUGGUUUUACUCCUGCCGCUGCUGCUGCUGGUUGCUCGCGAUCAUACUCGUCGCAACCCAGAGUAGGCUCAGAACGUUACUUCAAAAAUCAUCGGAAUACUACAAGUGUUGGAUAGUUUUUAAAUCGUCCAGAUAUGAUUAUCUCGAUAGAAGAAUCUUCUACAAAGCAAAAAUUAAAAAAAAAAAAAAGAAAGGAAAACGUUGCGAGCUACUAUGAAGAAAAAAAAUAAUCAUUUAUUUCUUAAAUUUUUAAAAAAGAAAGAAUAUCGGCUCAUUUAAUCUGCUAACUCGAAAGAUAUAUGAACAUGAUGAAUGUGAAUAUAAGAGGGAAUUUAUUUUAAUUUAAAAUCAAAUGCUAUAUGCUGAGAAAACGAGUAUCUUAGGAAUAAAUUAAUGCGAAGAAGAAUCGAAAGUCGCUGUCCUAUACUUAAUAAACAAAAUAAACAAUUCAUUUGUUCUUUAAACAUGAGAGAAAUUAAAUCUUCAUGACAAGUUAAUCUUAUAUUAAUCAAUUUUCUUUUUUUUUCGAAUUCGACAUGAAACACUUUACGUAUUUCAAACGGACAAAAGUUAUUAAUUUUUCUGUUUUUUUUUUUCCUUAUAUAGAAUAUCUCGUUAUAAAAAUGUAGGUUAUCAAAAAAAAAAAAAAAAAAAAAAAAACAUCUUAAAAUGACAUCGAAAUUAUACAUUAAAUAAAAAACGAUAAAUGCUAUAUUAUAUCUAUCUUAAAAUCGGAUAAACUCUUGUUUGAACAAUUUUUUUCAUACAUCUCACGUUUCCGAGGUAUUAAAAAUUUUAACAUUAUAUUUUAAACAACCCUAUAUAUGUAUAUACUAUAAUAUCGUUAUACUUGUAACUUCAAUUUUUUCUCAGUUAAUAAAAUUUAACAAUCGUCAUCGAAUGAUUGAAAAUCAUUUAAUAAUAUAAGAAAUAAGUUUUCGAAAACAAGCUAUAUGUUAAUAAGACAACAACUUGAACAGAUCAUCGUACAAAAUCGAUCACAGGAAUAAGAUAUCACAAUCGAGGUCACCCGGUAUCGAUACGUUUAUGUAUGUAAGUCGUUGGUUUCUUCCAUUGCUCCUGAGACUUUCCAACCUGAUUAAUAUAUAAAUGGACAUAAACAAUUCACAUCAACGAAACCUUGAAAUUAUAAAAGAAAAAAAAAAGAUUAACAAAAAAAGAAAAGAAACGUUCAAAAUAAUAA
Vespula vulgaris is the source of this 1280-nucleotide long non-coding RNA. RefSeq lists it as uncharacterized. The transcript is spliced from 2 exons. The record is from RefSeq and is a predicted model, not a curated record. Lineage: Eukaryota; Metazoa; Arthropoda; Insecta; Hymenoptera; Vespidae.